Molecule: ribosomal RNA, 737 nt
Filed under: uncultured bacterium
Lineage: Bacteria
Description: bacterial SSU rRNA
Rfam family: Bacterial small subunit ribosomal RNA
Source: RNAcentral
ACGGCAGCACGGACUUCGGUCUGGUGGCGAGUGGCGAACGGGUGAGUAACAUAUCGGAACGUAUCCAAUAAUGGGGGAUAACUAAUCGAAAGGUUGGCUAAUACCGCAUACGCCCUACGGGGGAAAGCUAGGGACCUUCGGGCCUGGCGUUAAUGGAGCGGCCGAUAUCUGAUUAGCUAGUUGGUGAGGUAAAGGCUCACCAAGGCGACGAUCAGUAGCUGGUCUGAGAGGACGACCAGCCACACUGGAACUGAGACACGGCCCAGACUCCUACGGGAGGCAGCAGUGGGGAAUUUUGGACAAUGGGGGCAACCCUGAUCCAGCCAUUCCGCGUGAGUGAAGAAGGCCUUCGGGUUGUAAAGCUCUUUCAGCCGGAAAGAAAUCGUGCAGACUAAUACUCUGUAUGGAUGACGGUACCGGAAGAAGAAGCACCGGCUAACUACGUGCCAGCAGCCGCGGUAAUACGUAGGGUGCGAGCGUUAAUCGGAAUUACUGGGCGUAAAGCGUGCGCAGGCGGUUUUGUAAGACAGAUGUGAAAUCCCCGGGCUUAACCUGGGAACUGCAUUUGUGACUGCAAGGCUAGAGUACGGCAGAGGGGGGUAGAAUUCCACGUGUAGCAGUGAAAUGCGUAAAUAUGUGGAGGGAAUACCCGAUGGCGAAAGGCAGCCCCCUGGGGUCGAUCCUGACGCUCAUGCACGAAAGCGUGGGGAUCAAACAGGAUUAAAUACCCUGGUAGU